UGGGGAAUUGUUCGCAAUGGGCGCAAGCCUGACGACGCAACGCCGCGUGGGGGAUGAAGAUCUUCGGGUCGUAAACUCCUGUCGAGCGGGAAGAAUAGUUUCGGCGUGAAUAGCGCCGGGACCUGACGGUACCGCUAAAGGAAGCCCCGGCUGACUCCGUGCCAGCAGCCGCGGUAAUACGGGGGGGGCAAGCGUUGUUCGGAAUUACUGGGCGUAAAGGGCUCGUAGGCGGCCAACUAAGUCGGACGUGAAAUCCCCAGGCUCAACCUGGGAACUGCGUCCGAUACUGGAUGGCUUGAAUUCGGGAGAGGGAUGCAGAAUUCCAGGUGUAGCGGUGAAAUGCGUAGAUAUUCGGAAGAACACCAGUGGCGAAGGCGGCCCACUGGACGUGUAUUGACGCUGAGGUGCGAAAGCGUGGGGAGCAAA
Molecule: ribosomal RNA, 426 nt
Filed under: uncultured bacterium
Lineage: Bacteria
Description: bacterial SSU rRNA
Rfam family: Bacterial small subunit ribosomal RNA
Source: RNAcentral